UACGUAGGGGGCAAGCGUUGUUCGGAAUCAUUGGGCGUAAAGGGCGUGUAGGCGGUUUGUUAAGUCAUGUGUGAAAUCCCUCGGCUCAACCGGGGAACGACGCAUGAAACUGGCAAGCUAGAGUACCAAAGAGGGGGGUGGAAUUCCUGGUGUAGCGGUGAAAUGCGCAGAUAUCAGGAGGAACACCGGUGGCGAAGGCAGCCCCCUGGGUCAAGAUUGACGCUCAUGCACGAAAGCGUGGGGAGCAAACAGG
RNAcentral lists this ribosomal RNA (253 nucleotides) under uncultured bacterium. Its description in RNAcentral is "partial 16S ribosomal RNA". It matches the Rfam family "Bacterial small subunit ribosomal RNA", at positions 524 to 776 of the family's 1533-position model. The record is from RNAcentral.